GAUGAACGCUAGCGGGAGGCCUAACACAUGCAAGCCGAGCGGUAUUGUUUCUUCGGAAAUGAGAGAGCGGCGUACGGGUGCGGAACACGUGUGCAACCUGCCUUUAUCUGGGGGAUAGCCUUUCGAAAGGAAGAUUAAUACUCCAUAAUAUAUUGAACGGCAUCGUUUAAUAUUGAAAGCUCCGGCGGAUAGAGAUGGGCACGCGCAAGAUUAGCUAGUUGGUGAGGUAACGGCUCACCAAGGCGAUGAUCUUUAGGGGGCCUGAGAGGGUGAUCCCCCACACUGGUACUGAGACACGGACCAGACUCCUACGGGAGGCAGCAGUGAGGAAUAUUGGUCAAUGGGUGCAAGCCUGAACCAGCCAUCCCGCGUGAAGGACGACUGCCCUAUGGGUUGUAAACUUCUUUUGUAUAGGGAUAAACCUACCCUCGUGAGGGUAGCUGAAGGUACUAUACGAAUAAGCACCGGCUAACUCCGUGCCAGCAGCCGCGGUAAUACGGAGGGUGCAAGCGUUAUCCGGAUUUAUUGGGUUUAAAGGGUCCGUAGGCGGACUUAUAAGUCAGUGGUGAAAGCCCGUCGCUUAACGAUAGAACUGCCAUUGAUACUGUAAGUCUUGAGUAUAUUUGAGGUAGCUGGAAUAAGUAGUGUAGCGGUGAAAUGCAUAGAUAUUACUUAGAACACCAAUUGCGAAGGCAGGUUACCAAGAUAUAACUGACGCUGAGGGACGAAGGCGUGGGGAGCGAACAGGAUUGGAUACCCUGGUAGUCCACGCCGUAAACGAUGCUAACUCGUUUUUGGGCUUUAGGGUUCAGAGACCAAGCGAAAGUGAUAAGUUAGCCACCUGGGGAGUACGCUCGCAAGAGUGAAACUCAAAGGAAUUGACGGGGGCCCGCACAAGCGGUGGAUUAUGUGGUUUAAUUCGAUGAUACGCGAGGAACCUUACCAAGACUUAAAUGGGAAUUGACAGCUUUAGAAAUAGAGCUUUCUUCGGACAAUUUUCAAGGUGCCGCAUGGUUGUCGUCAGCUCGUGCCGUGAGGUGUUAGGUUAAGUCCUGCAACGAGCGCAACCCCUGUCACUAGUUGCCAUCAUUCAGUUGGGGACUCUAGUGAGACUGCCUACGCAAGUAGAGAGGAAGGUGGGGAUGACGUCAAAUCAUCACGGCCCUUACGUCUUGGGCCACACACGUAAUACAAUGGCCGGUACAGAGGGCAGCUACACAGCGAUGUGAUGCAAAUCUCGAAAGCCGGUCUCAGUUCGGAUUGGAGUCUGCGACUCGACUCUAUGAAGCUGGAAUCGCUAGUAAUCGCGCAUCAGCCAUGGCGCGGUGAAUACGUUCCCGGGCCU
Molecule: ribosomal RNA, 1345 nt
Filed under: uncultured bacterium
Lineage: Bacteria
Description: bacterial SSU rRNA
Rfam family: Bacterial small subunit ribosomal RNA
Source: RNAcentral